RNAcentral lists this ribosomal RNA (407 nucleotides) under Serratia symbiotica. Its description in RNAcentral is "bacterial SSU rRNA". It matches the Rfam family "Bacterial small subunit ribosomal RNA", at positions 8 to 411 of the family's 1533-position model. The record is from RNAcentral. Lineage: Bacteria; Pseudomonadati; Pseudomonadota; Gammaproteobacteria; Enterobacterales; Yersiniaceae.
AGAGUUUGAUCAUGGCUCAGAUUGAACGCUGGCGGCAGGCCUAACACAUGCAAGUCGAGCGGUAGCACAAGAGAGCUUGCUCUCUGGGUGACGAGCGGCGGACGGGUGAGUAAUGUCUGGGAAACUGCCUGAUGGCGGGGGAUAACUAGUGGAAACGGUAGCUAAUACCGCAUAACGUCGCAAGACCAAAGUGGGGGACCUUCGGGCCUCACGCCAUCAGAUGUGCCCAGGUGGGAUUAGCUGGUAGGUGGGGUAACGGCUCACCUAGGCGACGAUCCCUAGCUGGUCUGAGAGGAUGACCAGCCACACUGGAACUGAGACACGGUCCAGACUCCUACGGGAGGCAGCAGUGGGGAAUAUUGCACAAUGGGCGCAAGCCUGAUGCAGCCAUGCCGCGUGUGUGAAGA